Molecule: small nuclear RNA, 134 nt
Organism: Trichechus manatus latirostris (Florida manatee)
Lineage: Eukaryota; Metazoa; Chordata; Mammalia; Sirenia; Trichechidae
Product: U4 spliceosomal RNA
Exons: 1
Source: RefSeq, a predicted model, not a curated record
AGGUUUGUGGAGUGUUAGUAUCAUAGGUAAUGAGGUUUAUCCAAGGCUCAAUUAUUGUUAAUUGAAAACGUUCCAAUACUGUGAUGACAUGAAAUAUAGUCGGCUUUGGCAAUUUUUGACAGUCUCUAUGGAGA